Molecule: ribosomal RNA, 451 nt
Filed under: uncultured bacterium
Lineage: Bacteria
Description: partial 16S ribosomal RNA
Rfam family: Bacterial small subunit ribosomal RNA
Source: RNAcentral
AGCGAACGCUGGCGGCAGGCCUAACACAUGCAAGUCGAGCGGCCGUAGCAAUACGGCAGCGGCAGACGGGAGAGUAACACGUGGGAACGCGCCCUUCGGUUCGGGAUAACCCAGGGAAACUUGGGCUAAUACCGGAUACGCCCUUACGGGGAAAGAUUUAUUGCCGAAGGAACGGCCCGCGUCCGAUUAGCUAGUUGGUGAGGUAAUGGCUCACCAAGGCGACGAUCGGUAGCUGGUCUGAGAGGGUGACCAGCCUCACUGGGACUGAGACACGGCCCAAACUCCUACGGGAGGCGGCAGUGGGGAAUAUUGGACAAUGGGCGCAAGCCUGAUCCAGCCAUGCCGCGUGGGUGAUGAAGGCGAUAGGGUUGUAAAGCCCUUUCAGCGGGGAAGAUAAUGACGGUACCCGCAGAAGAAGCCCCGGCUAACUUCGUGCCAGCCGCCGCCGUAA